GACGAACGCUGGCGGCAUGCCUAACACAUGCAAGUCGAACGAGACCUCCCGGUCUUGUUGCGCAAGUGUACGUAACGCGUGGGAACUUGCCCUUAGGUUCGGAAUAACUCCCUGAAAGGGGUGCUAAUACCGCUUAAUCUCUUCGGACCAAAGAUUUAUGGCUUUGGGAUGGGCCCGCGUGGGAUUAGCUGGUUGGUAGGGUAACAGCCUACCAAGGCGACGAUCCAUAGCUGGUCUGGGAGGAUGACCAGCCACACUGGGACUGAGACACGGCCCAGACUCCGACGGGAGGGAGCAGUGGGGAACAUUGGACGAUGGGCGAAAGCCUGAUCCCGCAGUGCGGGGUGAGUGAUGAAGGCCUUUGGGUUGUAAAGCUCUUUUACCCGGGAUGAUAAUGACAGUACCGGGAGAAUAAGCUCCGGCUAACUACGUG
RNAcentral lists this ribosomal RNA (433 nucleotides) under uncultured bacterium. RNAcentral's name for it is "partial 16S ribosomal RNA". It matches the Rfam family "Bacterial small subunit ribosomal RNA", at positions 28 to 507 of the family's 1533-position model. The record is from RNAcentral.